GGCUAACGCUGGUGGCGUGUCUUAGCCAUGCAAGUCGAGCGGACUUAUGGGGUAACUUAUAAGUCAGCGGCGGACGGCGGAGUAACACGUAGCUAACCUACCCUCUGGACGGGGAUAACCUACCGAAAGGUGGGCUAAUACCCGAUGUAGUCAUCCUGUAUAGGGGUGAUGAAAGGUGGGCUUCUGUUUACAAGCUCAUGCUGGAGGAGGGGGCUGCGGCCUAUCAGGUAGUUGGUAGGGUAAUAGCCUACCAAGCCGAUGACGGGUAGCCGGCCUGAGAGGGUGACCGGCCCGAGGGGCACUGAGAUACGGGUCCCACUCCUACGGGAGGCAGCAGGCUAGAAAUUUGGGCAAUGGGGGAAACCCUGACCCAGUGACGCCGCGUGCAGGAAGGAGCCCUUCGGGGUGUAAACUGCUGUCGUGUAGGGAGAAGGGUACUAAGGUGAACAAUCUUAGUACUUGACGGUACUACAGGAGGAAGCCCAGGCUAACCUCGUG
Molecule: ribosomal RNA, 498 nt
Filed under: uncultured bacterium
Lineage: Bacteria
Description: bacterial SSU rRNA
Rfam family: Bacterial small subunit ribosomal RNA
Source: RNAcentral